GAUGAACGCUGGCGGCGUGCCUAAUACAUGCAAGUCGAGCGAACGGACGAGAAGCUUGCUUCUCUGAUGUUAGCGGCGGACGGGUGAGUAACACGUGGAUAACCUACCUAUAAGACUGGGGUAACUUCGGGAAACCGGAGCUAAUACCGGAUAAUAUUUUGAACCGCAUGGUUCAAAAGUGAAAGACGGUCUUGCUGUCACUUAUAGAUGGAUCCGCGCUGCAUUAGCUAGUUGGUAAGGUAACGGCUUACCAAGGCAACGAUGCAUAGCCGACCUGAGAGGGUGAUCGGCCACGCUGGAACUGAGACACGGCCCAGACUCCUACGGGAGGCAGCAGUAGGGAAUCUUCCGCAAUGGGCGAAAGCCUGACGGAGCAACGCCGCGUGAGUGAUGAAGGUCUUCGGAUCGUAAAACUCUGUUAUUAGGGAAGAACAUAUGUGUAAGUAACUGUGCACAUCCUGACGGUACCUAAUCAGAAAGCCACGGCUAACUACGUG
Molecule: ribosomal RNA, 497 nt
Filed under: uncultured bacterium
Lineage: Bacteria
Description: partial 16S ribosomal RNA
Rfam family: Bacterial small subunit ribosomal RNA
Source: RNAcentral